RNAcentral lists this unclassified non-coding RNA (315 nucleotides) under plant metagenome. Its description in RNAcentral is "partial contains 5.8S ribosomal RNA, internal transcribed spacer 2, and large subunit ribosomal RNA". The stretch from base 1 to 105 matches the Rfam family "5.8S ribosomal RNA", at positions 50 to 154 of the family's 154-position model. The record is from RNAcentral.
GAACUGCGAUAAGUAAUGUGAAUUGCAGAAUUCAGUGAAUCAUCGAGUCUUUGAACGCACAUUGCGCCCCCUGGCAUUCCGGGGGGCAUGCCUGUCCGAGCGUCAUUGCUGCCCUUCAAGCCCGGCUUGUGUGUUGGGUCGUCGUCCCCUCCGGGGGACGGGCCCGAAAGGCAGCGGCGGCACCGCGUCCAGUCCUCGAGCGUAUGGGGCUUUGUCACCCGCUCGAUAAGGACCGGCCGGGCGCCAGCCGGCGUCUCCAACCUUUUUUUCUCAGGUUGACCUCGGAUCAGGUAGGGAUACCCGCUGAACUUAAGC